CCCAUCACGUUGGGGAAUAACCUUGUAGAAAGUAAGACUAAUACCCAAUGACGUCUCUAGAAGACAUCUGAAAGAGAUUAAAGAUUUAUCGGUGAUGGAUGGGGAUGCGUCUGAUUAGCUUGUUGGCGGGGUAACGGCCCACCAAGGCGACGAUCAGUAGGGGUUCUGAGAGGAAGGUCCCCCACAUUGGAACUGAGACACGGUCCAAACUCCUACGGGAGGCAGCAGUGAGGAAUAUUGGUCAAUGGACGAGAGUCUGAACCAGCCAAGUAGCGUGAAGGAUGAAGGUCCUACGGAUUGUAAACUUCUUUUAUAAGGGAAUAAACCCUCCCACGUGUGGGAGCUUGUAUGUACCUUAUGAAUAAGCAUCGGCUAACUCCGUG
This 383-nucleotide ribosomal RNA is filed under the name uncultured bacterium. RNAcentral's name for it is "bacterial SSU rRNA". It matches the Rfam family "Bacterial small subunit ribosomal RNA", at positions 129 to 507 of the family's 1533-position model. The record is from RNAcentral.